AGAGUUUGAUCAUGGCUCAGGACGAACGCUGGCGGCGUGCCUAAUACAUGCAAGUUGAGCGCUGAAGGUUGGUACUUGUACCGACUGGAUGAGCAGCGAACGGGUGAGUAACGCGUGGGGAAUCUGCCUUUGAGCGGGGGACAACAUUUGGAAACGAAUGCUAAUACCGCAUAAAAACUUUAAACACAAGUUUUAAGUUUGAAAGAUGCAAUUGCAUCACUCAAAGAUGAUCCCGCGUUGUAUUAGCUAGUUGGUGAGGUAAAGGCUCACCAAGGCGAUGAUACAUAGCCGACCUGAGAGGGUGAUCGGCCACAUUGGGACUGAGACACGGCCCAAACUCCUACGGGAGGCAGCAGUAGGGAAUCUUCGGCAAUGGACGAAAGUCUGACCGAGCAACGCCGCGUGAGUGAAGAAGGUUUUCGGAUCGUAAAACUCUGUUGGUAGAGAAGAACGUUGGUGAGAGUGGAAAGCUCAUCAAGUGACGGUAACUACCCAGAAAGGGACGGCUAACUACGUGCCAGCAGCCGCGGUAAUACGUAGGUCCCGAGCGUUGUCCGGAUUUAUUGGGCGUAAAGCGAGCGCAGGUGGUUUAUUAAGUCUGGUGUAAAAGGCAGUGGCUCAACCAUUGUAUGCAUUGGAAACUGGUAGACUUGAGUGCAGGAGAGGAGAGUGGAAUUCCAUGUGUAGCGGUGAAAUGCGUAGAUAUAUGGAGGAACACCGGUGGCGAAAGCGGCUCUCUGGCCUGUAACUGACACUGAGGCUCGAAAGCGUGGGGAGCAAACAGGAUUAGAUACCCUGGUAGUCCACGCCGUAAACGAUGAGUGCUAGAUGUAGGGAGCUAUAAGUUCUCUGUAUCGCAGCUAACGCAAUAAGCACUCCGCCUGGGGAGUACGACCGCAAGGUUGAAACUCAAAGGAAUUGACGGGGGCCCGCACAAGCGGUGGAGCAUGUGGUUUAAUUCGAAACAACGCGAAGAACCUUACCAGGUCUUGACAUACUCGUGCUAUUCCUAGAGAUAGGAAGUUCCUUCGGGACACGGGAUACAGGUGGUGCAUGGUUGUCGUCAGCUCGUGUCGUGAGAUGUUGGGUUAAGUCCCGCAACGAGCGCAACCCCUAUUGUUAGUUGCCAUCAUUAAGUUGGGCACUCUAACGAGACUGCCGGUGAUAAACCGGAGGAAGGUGGGGAUGACGUCAAAUCAUCAUGCCCCUUAUGACCUGGGCUACACACGUGCUACAAUGGAUGGUACAACGAGUCGCGAGACAGUGAUGUUUAGCUAAUCUCUUAAAACCAUUCUCAGUUCGGAUUGUAGGCUGCAACUCGCCUACAUGAAGUCGGAAUCGCUAGUAAUCGCGGAUCAGCACGCCGCGGUGAAUACGUUCCCCGGCCUUGUACACACCGCCCGUCACACCACGGGAGUUGGGAGUACCCGAAGUAGGUUGCCUAACCGCAAGGAGGGCGCUUCCUAAGGUAAGACCGAUGACUGGGGUGAAGUCGUAACAAGGUAACCGUAUCGGAAGGUGCGGCUGGAUCACCUCCUUA
RNAcentral lists this ribosomal RNA (1540 nucleotides) under Lactococcus lactis subsp. lactis. RNAcentral's name for it is "bacterial SSU rRNA". It matches the Rfam family "Bacterial small subunit ribosomal RNA". The record is from RNAcentral. Lineage: Bacteria; Bacillati; Bacillota; Bacilli; Lactobacillales; Streptococcaceae.